CCUACGGGAGGCAGCAGUGAGGAAUAUUGGUCAAUGGCCGGAAGGCUGAACCAGCCAAGCCGCGUGAAGGACGAAGGUGCCAAGCAUUGUAAACUUCUUUUGUCAAGGGACAAAAUCAGGCUCGAGAGCCUGACCGAGGGUACUUGAAGAAAAAGCAUCGGCUAACUCCGUGCCAGCCGCCGCGGUAAUAGGGGGGAUGCGAGCUUUAUCCGGAUUUAUUGGGGUAAAGGGGUGCGUAGGCGGACUGUUAAGUCAGCGGUAAAAGCCCGGGGCUCAACCCCGGCGAGCCGUUGAAACUGGCUGUCUUGAGAUGUCGAGAGGUAUGCGGAAUGCGCAGUGUAGCGGUGAAAUGCUUAGAUAUUGCGCAGAACUCCGAUUGCGAAGGCAGCAUACCGGCGGCGAUCUGACGCUGAGGCACGAAAGCGUGGGUAUCGAACAGGAUUAGAUACCCCUGUAGUC
Molecule: ribosomal RNA, 459 nt
Filed under: uncultured bacterium
Lineage: Bacteria
Description: partial 16S ribosomal RNA
Rfam family: Bacterial small subunit ribosomal RNA
Source: RNAcentral